Molecule: long non-coding RNA, 327 nt
Filed under: Elaeis guineensis (African oil palm)
Lineage: Eukaryota; Viridiplantae; Streptophyta; Magnoliopsida; Arecales; Arecaceae
Description: long non-coding RNA (EGUI_LNC004025)
Source: RNAcentral
UCUCUCUCACGCACGCGCACGCACACACACAUACAUGCAUAUACAUAUAUAUAUAUAUACACAUAUAUCAUAUACAUAUAUAUAUAUGUAUAUAUACAUAUAUACGUAUAUAUGUAUAUAUACAUAUAUACGUAUAUACAUAUAUACACACACAUAUAUAUCACAUACUGUAUAUACACAUAUGUUCGAAUGGUAUAUAUGUAUGUAUAUAUAUAUGUACACAUAUAUAUAUAUAUGUAUAUAUACAUACAUAUAUGUGUAUAUACACAAGAUUUUAAAUCCCAUAGGACAGAGAUGUCCCAGUACCUUCAUGGAACAAGAUGCCCC